Molecule: long non-coding RNA, 3969 nt
Organism: Hemicordylus capensis (graceful crag lizard)
Lineage: Eukaryota; Metazoa; Chordata; Lepidosauria; Squamata; Cordylidae
Exons: 4
Source: RefSeq, a predicted model, not a curated record
AUGAUCACAAUGUGGCGCCGGCUACUGCACGCCGCGGGGCUUUCUCAUUCAAAGAUGCGCAUGCGCCUUGCGACAAUACUGGGUCAUCCGUUUUGUUGUUGUUUUUUUAAUCGUUGCCUGAAAUGGAGGAAUCGCGAAUUUGUGGAGAAAUCUCCGUAGUCCCAAAUGGACACCAAUAGACACCCCGUGCGUGAUGAAAGUACCCCCAUCCUACGAUCUGCACCGCCCCCACCCCUCCUAUCUCUUAUUUCCGCGUUCGUGAUGAUCAUCCCAAGCCACACCUGACGUCACCCGGGCCGUAUUUCAAAAAGCCGGGCAUUUCAGGAUGGGCAGCAUGACGAAGUAGAAGGAGAAAGUCUUCCCAACGGACACUUCCGCAAGCACGUGCCCGUUCAGUGAGAAACAGGCACGCGCGUGGCACUGGAGGCAUCGCAUCCCUGGAUUGCCCAAACCCUAAACGGAUACAACUUCGCACUCCACUAUAAACUAAAGUUAGCUCUAUUUCCGUGCUGCUACCGCCAUUCUCGACCAGGCAACUUGUAGCCUAAUACCAGCUCCGCUGUUUUCUCCUGCCGGUCUCCAAGGAGGCUGAAAGUAGCAAAUAACAGGAUUAUUGGUAUUACAUUUCACCAACUCCACCACGGUCCCCAGCCCGGAGAAAGAAAACUUGAGUUUACGCAGCCUUGUCCUAGCCGACCAAUCUUAUGCACGCUUACUUAGGGAUAAGCUCUAUUAAACUCCACGAGAAGCCUGGUUCUCCGGCUGCAAGUUCUAUAUAGAAUUCUGAAUUCGGAGUGCAUUCAGUCGAGAGGGCACAGCCUGGCCUCUUCAAACUGGAUGUUGUCUAGCUCUGAAAAGCGCUGUCAGUUUUGACAUGUAUUCAAGAUAACAGGACAGAGGAAAUGCUUCACAGCAAUCAAUGGCCCUAUAGUGGAAACGCAGUGACAUGUCAUCCGACAGGGCAACCAAAGCAGUUUCUGUUCCAAAGCUGGGCCUGAAGCCUGAUUGAAAAGGAUCUAGACAAUCUGUUUCCUCCAAGAGUGUCUGGAGCUGGUGGGACACGCUCAAGGACAUGCCCAGGGAGGGGAUACUGGCCACAGGCCUACAGUUGUUUAUUACAUCCUCUGAGUCCAGACUGGGUUUCUUUUGGAUUGGUCAAAUAAUAGUUUCCUUCAAUGGAGCUGGAAAGCACAGCUGUGUGUCAUAAGAAAUUAAUUAAUUGACAAAAGGCUUCUGCAAGCCCAAUUACUGGUUGCAUCUCUGUAUGAGUCUCUGCUUUGGGCUUUCCUUUUUCCAGUCAGGAGAGAAGCAGUCGUGCACAAACAUGAGGAGGGUAUAAAAAGAUACUUGAAGUGUAGAAAUGAAGACAGGCAGCAGUUCUUCACGUUUCAGAUAGGAUUUUUCCCAGCCGUACGUAUAGAUGCCAGGCACUGAAACUGCAAAGCGUAUGUUCUACCAGUGAACUAUAGAACUUCUCUUUAAAUGUCACAUUUUAAGGGGUCUGCAAAAGAGGUGUGUCUCAUUGGCUUUAUUUUGGGGCAUCUCAAUUUAUUGUAGCUAAUUUGCAACGUUUCUCAAAGUAAAUUGUCUUCAUGUUUAUUGCUAUGAGGAGCAAAGCUUUAUAUAGUUUUUAUUUUUAUUUUUAAAAAAGAUCUUACAUCCACACCACAGAUAUGAGGCAUUCACUUUAUGUUUUCUGUUCUGAAAACAUCCAGGUAGGUGCAGUGUUAACUGUGCUCAGAAGUUCACCACUUUGAAAACUGCACCACACUGCAGCUUGCCACAAAAAAUACUGCCUCACAGAAAACAGAAAGCCGCUAUCUGCUUGCAAUGCAGGCAUGUAUUUCUAGUGCUGGAGAUUUCCCCUAGUCUCAUUCUUCAUACCUCUGUAGUGUGGAGGCAAGGAUUCCUGGAUGCCUGUGAGGAAAGGAACUCUGAGGUUUGAACUAGGAAGUUCAAGUUCUGGCUUUAGCCUAGUGAAUCACGACAGACUAUGGGCUCCCAGGCCUCCGAGCCCCAUUCAAAUGCAGGAGAGAACAGCAAUGUGCAUCAUCAGCUUCUGCAAUUGGCAGACAUUAUUACGCCUUUGGAUUGGUCAGAUGUGGUAAAAAUACUAGGAGCCUGGCCUUCUGCCUUUGCCGGUCAGUCAAGUGAUGCCUUCUGCUUGUCGCAGUUCCAGCUCAAAUCACUGAGCUUGGGAACCCUGAGCUGGCAACUAACACCCUCCAGCUAGAGUUACAUGUAGUCCCAACCAGCCCAGUGCUGAGAUGCUUGUCUCACCACCCUCCACCAAGAUGUGUGCUCCUACAUUUCCUGCAUUAGGGUAUAUGUGGUGUGGACCACAGCAUCUUGGAAAUACCAUGAAAUUGUCCCCAAGUUCACUUGAUUUACUAGACCCUCAUCUGUGGUAGAGAGUUCUCAAAGAAUGAUAGCAGUGUGGCCAAAGCCAAACCACAUGGAAAUAAUGCUGGGGAUGCUGAGCCUCACUUAUUUGCAACCACAUGUGUAAUGUAACAGGGAAACAUUCUCUCUGGCACUGAAUCUUCCACAUCUUGUUAAACUGUCUCUGCAAAAGAUCCCAUGGUUCCCACAAGUUCUUGAUGGUGUGAGUGCUGGGGGAUUGCAUGCCAGGCCAAGUACCACAGAGUUCUCGCUGGAAGAGCAUCCUGGAGGAACCUGAGCGUGCCUAAAGGACCUGCUCAAGAGGGGUCAGCAUGGUCAGAAGCACCUCUGCUUCUACCAUGCCCCCUUCAGUGGAGGAGGUGAGGCUCCCCAUCCCAUCCCAUUACAAAGUGCAUGUCAUUUCCCUGUGUGAUGUGGGAACUGCUCCUUCAAUGCAUAAAACAGUUUAACAUUGUGAGAAAUAAAAUGCACCAUUGCCAAGCCAGAUUAGGACACUCUUGAGUACAAACGAGCAUGUGAUGAUACUCUGUCAUCUUAAACACACACAUAAAAAUGCAUGUUUCUUUUGAGAACUAUAAUUUUAUGAAUGAAGAAGCAGAGAAGGCAGAUUUCCAGCCAGCUUGCAUAUACAUCUGGAAUACAUAUUAUUGCUUCCAUUAGAAGCAACAGCUCUUGGUUGGAACAUCCAAGGGAAGAGUUAGCUGGAGAUGCCAUAAGGAGAAAUACACAGGCAAAGCCAAUGUGUGAUCAUCCAUCCAUCCAUCCAUCCUCUCUCUCUCUCUCUCUCUCUCUCUCUCUCUCUCUCUCUCUCUCACACACACACACACACACACACACACACACACACACACACACACACGCAUAGCUAUAACUGAGCGAAAGCGUUCAAAGAACACGGGUCCCCAGCUCCUGAGGGCCCUCCAGAUCCCUCCCUCCCUAUUUUCUUCAUUGUCUCCCUCACUCUGGGGGGCCACCAGAGAGAGGGAUGAACACAGGCCCCCUCUCCCCUAGCUACGCCCCUGCGCACAUACACACACACACCCCUCAUGCCAGAUGUCUGAAGUUAUUUCCCAUAAGCAUAUGUCCUCACCAAGGUAUCUCCCUUCCUUUACCCUUACUCCUCAAAACUCUUUUAAAACACCCCCAACACCUUCUUGUUAAAGACUUCCUCCUUCUGAAUGUCUGGCAAAGUAUCUUCCACAUAGUUGAUUUCCCCUCUAUUUUAUUACAAGUGGAUGAGCAAUAUAUCAAUGAUUUAAGCCCUACGGCAAAACAGUAUGAAAAGAUACAAACAGCAGAUAACUUUUGUAAAAAUAAAAAUAAAAAAAAAUCAAAGGAACAGAAAUGAGUUCAAUAAAAUCGUUUGAGUAGCAAACAAAACGUAAGCUAAGAAGAUUAGCCAUAAUUUUAUUUUAUAAAUUCCAUUGAAAUGAAUAGGUUAGUUGCAACUAAGUUCAGUUGCUUUCAGUGGGAUGUAGUCAUGACUCAUUUUACUUGAAAUCAGACCUUUGAAGAGUUUUAAACAUAUUGAUUUUGCAUGAAGCAUAUUUUGAUGACUGUAUAUUA